This is a long non-coding RNA of Podarcis muralis (Common wall lizard), 4672 nucleotides long. RefSeq lists it as uncharacterized. Lineage: Eukaryota; Metazoa; Chordata; Lepidosauria; Squamata; Lacertidae. The record is from RefSeq and is a predicted model, not a curated record.
UUGUCAAGAAUAUAUGGGAGGAGUGGAGGAAUUUAUCUGAGCAGCAAAGCGCAUGCUUCCCCCCCCCUGAAACAAAGGCAUGAUUUCCAUUGCAAAUCCACCCCCACCCCACAAACCUUUUCUGCCAGGCAGAGGGACAGAGCAAACAACAAUAUUUAUGAGAAGGCGCUCAUGAAAUUAAUGUACCUUACUUUUAAAAAAUCAAAUGCUCACUACAGUGUGCCACGGCUCAGCUUAGUAAAAAAAUAAAAUAAAAGGGGGGGGGAGAUAGACUUCCUGACAGUCUUGUCAACAUCUUAAGUAAAUGAUCCCAGUGAUGGUCUUUGGAGAGGAGACGCGCCAUUCCUUCUUAAGACACCUCCUAGCAUUAAUCUUAAACCAGUUGAAGAUUAUGAUGGGAAAUAAGAGGGGGGGGGUAGAAUUGCAAAGCAUGUUCAUCUCCAAUUGCUUUUUUAAAAAAAAUAUGCAAGCGGGCCAAAUGUAACCGGAGAAAAGGGAAGAAAGAAAGGAAAAUGUCAGGGGGGGGAGAGAACAAUUGAGGCGAAUCCUUUUGCAACAACACAAAUAAAUAAAUAUGGAAAAGUUCCCUGACUUGAUUUCUGGAUUGCUGGAAUAUUGGGUGGGCGUGGGGCAGAUAAACAGCGCUGGCCCCCCACGCAACGAAGCAGCCACGAAAAGGUAACUUCAAAGGGGGAGGGGAGGCAAUACUUUUAUUUCUCUGGCUGUUCAUUAAAACAAAACAAAACAAAAAGAAUCGGAUCUCUUCGAUGAGAAAAUAGUAGUAAUUUUAGAUAUAUAUAUAUAUAUAUUUUACAAGAAAUCCAUUACCUUUUUCCGACUUUGUUUUCUUCUCCCAAAAUAAUUUAUUUGUAGGACUUUGACUAAUAUAUACCAAUACAAUUGUGGAAUUACAGAUGUUAUGGGAUUAAGAGCAAAAACCAGUUUGGGUAGCAUUUUUCGGGAUUUGAAUAUCUCACAAAAGAAAAUAAAUAUAGUGGGCAACUAUUUUACCGAACACCUUUUAAAUUCCAAGUCUUCUUUUUAUUUGUAAACAGUAUUUUCAAAUCUAGCCAUUUAUGUUUAAAGACCUGGAAAAUAAAACAGGACUGGAACUUAAAUGCGAAAACGCGGCGGUCGCUGAAGCACAGAUUCAAAGAGAAUUCUUGCCAGCCUGGAUUUUGAACUGGAAAUGGUCCUUGGAGCGACCUUUGCGUUUGACUGAGACAAAAUCUAUGAUACGUGGGAGUAAACCUCCAAUAAGUAGGGCUUACUUCCGCGUAAACGUGCAUGGACUAGUGCUGCAAGACGACUUCUUUUUAAUUGUCUUAAGGUUAAAAUGGAUUUUAAAAAAAUGUUUCUUAGUACUUUAGCAGCCUGAGCCCUAACCAUGUUUACUCGGAAGUAAGCCCGGGAUUUCCUCCCAAGGAAAGGCACGUAGGUGAGCAGCACGUGGGUCCUCCGAAGCGAGAGAAUGAAAGGUUUCCAAUAUCUCCGGAAUGUUGAAAGCAUGGGAAAGGGAUCGGGCUUAAAGUCACAAAAAGAAACGCAAACAUUUGCUUUGCAGUUUUAUUUUCCUGCUUCUGGCUGCAGCUGAGAUGCUAGAGAGAUACGACGGCAGCCGCCACGGGGCUCCAGUGGGUUGGGGGGGGGCAGGAGAAAGGCUGGUUCCUCGGUGCUUUUGGAUGCUGGAACGAACCGCAAGGCGCUUCCCACGAAAGAGGCACCCGCGCCUACAGCCACAGCCAAGCUCCCCCGGCCAGGCAGGCGCUGGCGGCGCAGGGCGGAGAGGAGGCGGCUGUAGCGCCCAUUCCCUGCGCUGCCCCUCCGCUGACCCCAGCCAGGGACUGCAGAGGGGGGAGCUCUCUGAGCUAGACCAGACCUGUCCCCCUGGGAAGCCCCUGCGGGAGAGGGAAGGAGGCCGCCCCAGUGCCCCUCCUAAAAAAGAAAAGGAGAAAAAACGCCGGGCGGGACUCCCCUUCCAGGAGCCUGCGAAAUUCUCCCCUCACCAACAAACCAGGGAGAACGAAAGCGCAACGGGCGGCUGCCCCAGAGAGCAGCUCUUCCAUUCCGAGGCGCUGCAGGGGCAGAUCCUGCCCCGGUGGCUCGAAGGAAGGGGACUCGAGGAACGCGCCGUCUAAGCGGAGCCCCAGUCCCAGAAAGCAGAGCCCACUCUCGAGCUCUUGGCGACGGGGCUUGGGCAGGUAGUGCUUCAAGCACCGCCUCUGGGAAGAUAGUCCAGAGAGCGCGCGGUGUUUCUCAAGAGACAGGUGCCGGGGCUCAAGAGUCCCGGGAGGAACGCGCUCCAUCCCGAAACCGCCUUUUCCCGAACCUAAAAGCGUGGGAAUCGCACCCUGCACCCUCUCAGAGGCACGCCACUCGCCCCUCUUUCCUCCUUCCAAAACUAACAUUUCAUAUGCCCCGCAGCUGUCUUGAUAUUAGGAGGGAGGGGGCUGAUUUGCUGACUGAAUUCUGGUGAACCCCGAAACAAAUUAAACCAUGAUUUAAGUCCCAUUUAUAUGCAUGGGAAAUCUGGGGGAGAUGAGCAGGCUUCCGCACAUGGCAUGCAUAUUGUAGGACAUCUCCUGUGGCGCGUCUCUUGUGCACAAAACAAGAGCGUUAUACAUCUGCCCGUCUUCCUACACAGACAGAGACACCUACAGACACCCACCCAGCAGGACAGCCAGCGAUUCUCACUCCUUUCUGGGCGUUCCUGGAGGACAGCUAUCUGGAGAAUCGUGCCCAGUGCGUUUUUGUGUAUACAAAUACAGCACACUAGAACAUCUCUUCCUUAAAAUGCCACCAAGAUUCAGUUUCACAAACUGGUUAUUCCUGAAUGCUUGGAUUUCAGCAGUUUUGCUCAACUGAUAGAUUCGGGUUUGAACCGAUUUAAAAACUCAUUAUAAUCAACAUUUACAAUUGAAGGCUUGGCACCAGAAAGGAAAGAUCGUGAGAGGAGUAACCUGAAGAAUAGCUGUCGUCUAGCCAUCCCUCAACAACACCCCUAUCACUACAGCGGUGGUGGGGGUAGGCUGCGAUUUUUGAAGAGCCUGCUAAUAGUUUGCUUUUUGGUGAUCUAACAUUAGCCAACCAAGUUACCAGAACAUUAAGGUUGCCAUCGGCUCGUCUAAACCCAUAGACUUCAUUGGGUUUUAGCGCGCUUAACUCUGUGUUUGCGGGUGUGCAGAGGGGAAUCCUGUUCCUUUUGCUGUUCAUUCAUUCAAUACAUCGCGAUCCUAGAUGUGGAAUUACCGAUCCCUCCCCUGGCAAAUUCUGCUUUGCAUCCUACACGGUCGGACACGCAUCUCAGAGGUAGAGCUCCGCCAGUCAACAUCACCACGGCUGGAGACAACCUGUGGGGUCCCCAAGGAGGACAGACGGAAAGGCCCACCAUCACAAGAGACCUCAGUAGCAGCUGCCCUUUCCUCAAUCAAGGGGAAAGCAGCAGGGGCGAGUCCUCCUCAAUCAAGCAGGCAUUUCUAAACAGCCUGCCUGGAAUCACCCUGACAGAGUUGCGUGGCCUUUGUAGAUGUGGUCUGACAUACCCUCCGUCCUCCUGCCUGGACACUUCGUUUUGUUUUGACAUGGUUGCACAAUGCCCUGUCCAUGCAUCAGCGCAGAUAACAGCAGAUGACCGAGGCUAAAUCUACCCCAGAAAUGGGAGUGUAGCAAAGGAUGCAAUGUAGUCGAAAUGAAAGACUUAAGCCCCAUUGCUUUGAAUGAGAAAAGAAGGCUUCAGUGCAAUUACAUGGGAGUAAGAGCCAUUAAAUCUCAUGUGGCCUAUUUCUGAGUAGACAUGCAUAAGAUGCACAUUUCUCUAUAAUGGAGACUUGGGGGUGAAUGGUUGCCAGAUCUGAGAAUCAAAUUUUUUAUCUGCUGCAGACAGGAUUGCAUCCCCUCUGAAAGAAAGAAAAAAAGUAGUUUGGGGGUGCUCCUGGAAUGAUACUACUGCCAUGAGAGGUUCAGGUUACCUCAGUGGCGAGGAGCGCCCAUGGUCAGCUUUGGUUGCUAAGCCAACAAUAGCCUUUCUUGAACAGGGACAGCUUGGCCACUGUGUUCCAUGCACUGGUAACCUCAUGGCAUUCUGUGUGGGACAAUCUUUGGUCAUGAUUUGGGAGCUGUAUCUAGUGCAGAAUUUGGUGGCUGGGGAGGGUAGAGACUGGGGGAUCUGGCCACACCUAUUACACUGGUCUUCAAUGAACUGCACUGUCUACCUAUUAGUAAUGGAGUCAUGUUCAAGGUCUUGUUAUUAACAUAGAAAGCAGGGAAUCUCAGACCCAGAGCUACAAUGCAGCCCUCCAAGCCUUCCCUUCCCUUCCCUUCCCUUCCCUUCCCUCUUCUGUUCCCUCUUCCCUUCCCUUCCUUUUUGCCUUCCCUUCAUUUCGUAGUUUUUAUUCAUUUUCAUCUUUAAACUGUUUGACGUGGUUGCACUGAGUUACCUUGGUUUAGAUCAGAGCAUACGACAUGCAACAAUUACAUCAAAUGAAAAAUAAAACAAUAAGCACUCCAAUAAAUGUUUCUGACUAUAUUAACAAAGUUGUGUCAACUUAUAUAUACCAAAAUUAUUAUUACAGAUAUGAAAUGAUGUAUAGCAACGUCUAUUGCUUAGACUGGGGACCCUAAAGCAGGGGUCAGCAAACUUUUUCAGCAGGGGGCUGUCCACUGUCCCUCAGAC